Molecule: ribosomal RNA, 1689 nt
Filed under: Triticum aestivum (bread wheat)
Lineage: Eukaryota; Viridiplantae; Streptophyta; Magnoliopsida; Poales; Poaceae
Description: partial small subunit ribosomal RNA
Source: RNAcentral
AUGGCCGAGGCUCCGGCGGCGAGCCGCAGGGCGGAGGAGGCGGGGAGCCGGCGCCGCGCGGAGGAGGAGGCGGAGGCGGCGGCCGCCGCCGACGGGGACGGGGACAGCAGCGUCUACACCUCCGAGGACGAGGGCACGGAGGACUACCGCCGCGGCGGCUACCACGCCGUCCGCCCCGGCGACACCUUCAAGCAGGGCGCCUACGUCGUGCAGUCCAAGCUCGGCUGGGGCCACUUCUCCACCGUCUGGCUCGCCUGGGACACCGCCCACUCCAGGUAUGUGGCCCUGAAGGUGCAGAAGAGCGCACAGCACUACACGGAGGCUGCCAUGGAUGAGAUCAAGAUCUUGAGGCAGAUUGCCGAUGGCGACCCUGAAGACUCCCGCUGUGUUGUGAAGCUUCUUGACCACUUCAAGCACUCAGGCCCCAACGGGAGCCAUGUCUGCAUGGUGUUUGAGUUUCUUGGUGAUAACUUGCUCACCCUGAUCAAGUACACGGACUAUCGCGGGAUUCCGCUUCCGAUGGUUAAGGAGAUAUGCCGGCAUGUGCUCAUUGGCCUUGACUACCUCCACCGCGAGCUUUCCAUUAUCCACACGGAUCUGAAGCCUGAGAAUAUAUUGCUCGUGUCCACCAUUGACCCCUCGAAGGAUCCCCGGAAGUCAGGUGUGCCACUGGUGCCCCCUGCUGCAAGGGCCAUCGAGCCACCUCCAAGGGCACCUGCUGCACCAUCAGCUAGUAGUGGCCUCACCAGGAACCAAAAGAAGAAGAUCCGGAAGAAAGCCAAACGUGUAGCUGCUUCAACUUCAGAAGGCAAUGGGGCAGUGGCAGCUGUUGACACGGACGAAUCAGAUGAUAAGGGAGAUUUGAGUACAGCAAAUGAGGGCAGUCCUAGCGAGGAUGGGGACAGGAAGAGAGGCGGGGGACAUAGGCGGGGCAGCAAAGGGACUAGGAAGAGGAUGGCGAUGGAAGCUGAACUAAGCUGUAAGCUUGUGGACUUUGGGAAUGCAUGUUGGACGUACAAGCAGUUCACAAGUGAUAUCCAAACAAGGCAAUACAGAUGUCCUGAGGUCCUUCUGGGCUCCAAGUACUCUACAUCUGCUGACCUGUGGUCCUUUGCAUGCAUAUGCUUUGAACUUGCCUCAGGAGAUGUGCUCUUUGAUCCGCAUAGUGGAGAUAACUUUGACAGGGAUGAGGAUCACCUUGCGCUUAUGAUGGAGCUACUUGGAAUGAUGCCUCGAAAGAUUGCCUUGGGUGGCCGAUACUCACGUGACUACUUCAAUCGUUACGGGGACUUGAGGCACAUCCGUCGCUUGCGGUUCUGGCCUCUCAGCAAGGUGCUUGUUGAGAAGUACGAGUUCAGCGACAUAGAUGCCAUUGCCAUGUCAGACUUUCUCGUCCCGAUACUUGAUUUUGUUCCCGAGAAGCGUCCUACAGCCGCUCAGUUGCUCCAGCACCCAUGGUUUGAUGCUGGGCCCCUUCGACGGCAGCCCAGAGUGCUGGCGGACACAGCUGAGAAUCCAGUUGAUGGCGCUCCAGAGAACAAAGGCAAGGAGAAAGACGAUGAAAGAGAUGCAAUGGCUGCGGAGCUGGGGAACAUCGCCAUAGACGGCGCUUCUUCAUCCAAGAUAGUGAAGGAUCCCCAAGCAAGCUCCAAGCAAAAGAUUGCGAAUGGUACGCCUUCUAAGAAGUGA